AGUGAACGCUGGCGGUAGGCCUAACACAUGCAAGUCGAACGGCAGCACAGGAGAGCUUGCUCUCUGGGUGGCGAGUGGCGGACGGGUGAGGAAUACAUCGGAAUCUACUCUGUCGUGGGGGAUAACGUAGGGAAACUUACGCUAAUACCGCAUACGACCUACGGGUGAAAGCAGGGGAUCUUCGGACCUUGCGCGAUUGAAUGAGCCGAUGUCGGAUUAGCUAGUUGGCGGGGUAAAGGCCCACCAAGGCGACGAUCCGUAGCUGGUCUGAGAGGAUGAUCAGCCACUCUGGAACUGAGACACGGUCCAGACUCCUACGGGAGGCAGCAGUGGGGAAUAUUGGACAAUGGGCGCAAGCCUGAUCCAGCCAUACCGCGUGGGUGAAGAAGGCCUUCGGGUUGUAAAGCCCUUUUGUUGGGAAAGAAAUCCAGCUGGCUAAUACCCGGUUGGGAUGACGGUACCCAAAGAAUAAGCAACGGCUAACUUCGUGCCAGCAGCCGCGGUAA
RNAcentral lists this ribosomal RNA (506 nucleotides) under uncultured bacterium. Its description in RNAcentral is "partial 16S ribosomal RNA". It matches the Rfam family "Bacterial small subunit ribosomal RNA", at positions 29 to 523 of the family's 1533-position model. The record is from RNAcentral.